GUCCACGCCGUAAACGAUGUCGAUUUGGAGGCUGUGUCCUUGAGACGUGGCUUCCGGAGCUAACGCGUUAAAUCGACCGCCUGGGGAGUACGGCCGCAAGGCUAAAACUCAAAGAAAUUGACGGGGCCCGCACAAGCGGCGGAGCAUGCGGAUUAAUUCGAUGCAACGCGAAGAACCUUACCUGGGCUUGACAUCCUGAUGACCGCUCCGUAAUGGGAGUUUUUCUUCGGAACAUCAGAGACAGGUGGUGCAUGGUUGUCGU
This 262-nucleotide ribosomal RNA is filed under the name uncultured bacterium. Its description in RNAcentral is "partial 16S ribosomal RNA". It matches the Rfam family "Bacterial small subunit ribosomal RNA", at positions 793 to 1055 of the family's 1533-position model. The record is from RNAcentral.